UCAUAGCUCACUCGGUAGAGUGCGAGACUCUUAAUUUCAGGGCCAUGGGUUCGAGUCCCAUGGGCAAAC
Podarcis lilfordi (Lilford's wall lizard) is the source of this 69-nucleotide non-coding RNA. NCBI's taxonomy places the organism in Eukaryota, Metazoa, Chordata, Lepidosauria, Squamata, Lacertidae. The record is from the annotation of a GenBank genome assembly.